Molecule: ribosomal RNA, 1164 nt
Filed under: bacterium
Lineage: Bacteria
Description: bacterial SSU rRNA
Rfam family: Bacterial small subunit ribosomal RNA
Source: RNAcentral
UCUACCAUGCAGUCGAACGGUGAACACGGAGCUUGCUCUGUGGGAUCAGUGGCGAACGGGUGAGUAACACGUGAGCAACCUGCCCCUGACUCUGGGAUAAGCGCUGGAAACGGCGUCUAAUACUGGAUAUGUGACGUGACCGCAUGGUCUGCGUUUGGAAAGAUUUUUCGGUUGGGGAUGGGCUCGCGGCCUAUCAGCUUGUUGGUGAGGUAAUGGCUCACCAAGGCGUCGACGGGUAGCCGGCCUGAGAGGGUGACCGGCCACACUGGGACUGAGACACGGCCCAGACUCCUACGGGAGGCAGCAGUGGGGAAUAUUGCACAAUGGGCGAAAGCCUGAUGCAGCAACGCCGCGUGAGGGAUGACGGCCUUCGGGUUGUAAACCUCUUUUAGCAGGGAAGAAGCGAAAGUGACGGUACCUGCAGAAAAAGCGCCGGCUAACUACGUGCCAGCAGCCGCGGUAAUACGUAGGGCGCAAGCGUUAUCCGGAAUUAUUGGGCGUAAAGAGCUCGUAGGCGGUUUGUCGCGUCUGCUGUGAAAUCCCGAGGCUCAACCUCGGGCCUGCAGUGGGUACGGGCAGACUAGAGUGCGGUAGGGGAGAUUGGAAUUCCUGGUGUAGCGGUGGAAUGCGCAGAUAUCAGGAGGAACACCGAUGGCGAAGGCAGAUCUCUGGGCCGUAACUGACGCUGAGGAGCGAAAGGGUGGGGAGCAAACAGGCUUAGAUACCCUGGUAGUCCACCCCGUAAACGUUGGGAACUAGUUGUGGGGUCCAUUCCACGGAUUCCGUGACGCAGCUAACGCAUUAAGUUCCCCGCCUGGGGAGUACGGCCGCAAGGCUAAAACUCAAAGGAAUUGACGGGGACCCGCACAAGCGGCGGAGCAUGCGGAUUAAUUCGAUGCAACGCGAAGAACCUUACCAAGGCUUGACAUAUACGAGAACGGGCCAGAAAUGGUCAACUCUUUGGACACUCGUAAACAGGUGGUGCAUGGUUGUCGUCAGCUCGUGUCGUGAGAUGUUGGGUUAAGUCCCGCAACGAGCGCAACCCUCGUUCUAUGUUGCCAGCACGUAAUGGUGGGAACUCAGGGGAUACUGCCGGGGUCAAUUCGGAAGGAAGGUGGGGAUGACGUCAAAUCAUCAGGCCCCUUAUGUCUUGGGCUUCCCGCA